AUUGAACGCUGGCGGCAGGCCUAACACAUGCAAGUCGAGCGCGCGGCGGCCGGGUGAGUCAUGUAUGGGGAUCUGCCUGAUGGAGGGGGAUAACUCCUGGAAACGGUAGCUAAUACCGCAUACCAUCAGAUGAACCCAUAUGGGAUUAGCUUGUAGGUGAGGUAACGGCUCACAUAGGCGACGAUCCCUAUCUGGUCUGACAGGAGAAUUUGCCACAAUGGGACUGAGAAACGGCCCAGUCUCAGACGGGAGGAAGCAGUGGGUAAUAUUGCACAAUGGGCGCAAGCCUGAUGCAGCCAUGCCGCGGGUAUUAAGAAGGUCUUCGGGUUGUAAAGUACUUUCAGGCGGGAGGCGUUACCGACAGAAGAAGCACCGGCUAACCCCGUGCCAGCAGCCGCGGUAAUAC
RNAcentral lists this ribosomal RNA (406 nucleotides) under uncultured bacterium. RNAcentral describes it as "partial 16S ribosomal RNA". It matches the Rfam family "Bacterial small subunit ribosomal RNA", at positions 30 to 526 of the family's 1533-position model. The record is from RNAcentral.